GUGUCAGCUGGUCGUUGGAGGUGGACGAGUCGCAGUUCUUAGUAGUUCCUUUGGUGCGUCGGGAGCACCACCGAUUGUCAAUUCCGUGAUUGAUCGAAGACGAGGAUGCGAGUAACCGUCGUGUGGCAGAGCGCGGUCGCCUUCGGCCUGCUGGCCCUCCUGGCUGGCCGCGGGAAUGGCUUCGUGUCCUCGCUGCCGGAGGCGGGAGAGAGGCUCCUCGCGCUGCGGGAGAAGCUGGUGAAAUUCGUAGAGGGAGACAAGAGACAAGAGACGAGCCGGGAAGGGAGCACUGGUGCCUUCUCUAAGAUGUGGUAAGGCUUUCAUGUGUAGUUAAGUAUGAAAGAGAAUGAACGAUCACAAGA
RNAcentral lists this long non-coding RNA (362 nucleotides) under Penaeus japonicus. Its description in RNAcentral is "uncharacterized LOC122247565". The record is from RNAcentral. Lineage: Eukaryota; Metazoa; Arthropoda; Malacostraca; Decapoda; Penaeidae.